This 450-nucleotide ribosomal RNA is filed under the name Triticum aestivum (bread wheat). Its description in RNAcentral is "partial small subunit ribosomal RNA". Lineage: Eukaryota; Viridiplantae; Streptophyta; Magnoliopsida; Poales; Poaceae. The record is from RNAcentral.
AUGCCACGUGCUGAUGGUCCCUUUAAGGUGUUAGAGAAAAUAAAUGAUAAUGCAUAUAAACUUGAGCUGCCUGCAGAUUUGAAGCCUUAUUUGGGUGAGGAAGAUGAACUUCCGUCGAGGACGACUUCAUUUCAAGAAGGGGAGGAUGAUGAGGACAUCAAUACAAUUGUUACACCCACAGCCCCUGCUGCUAUACAUACUGGACCAAUUACUAGAGCUCGUGCACGCCAACUAAAUUACCAGGUACUUUCGUUUCUUGGUAAUGAUUCUAAUGUUCAUGAGAAUAUGAUGCUGCCUAAAUUGGAUACAUUUGUUUUGCUUACAAAUGAAGGGCCUAGCUUGGAGAAGGAUGAGCAUUGGAGCAAGAACAAGCAUGGAGAUGAUGGCAUGCGCAAGGGGAACAAGAACGGAGUUACAAGUGAUGAUUUCAGGACUUUGAAGCCACCAUAA